AUAUAAACGUAACCAGAACGGAUUACAGAGAGAAAAUAAGAAUGUGAUA
Molecule: non-coding RNA, 49 nt
Filed under: Trypanosoma lewisi
Lineage: Eukaryota; Euglenozoa; Kinetoplastea; Trypanosomatida; Trypanosomatidae
Source: RNAcentral